RNAcentral lists this long non-coding RNA (781 nucleotides) under Helianthus annuus (common sunflower). RNAcentral's name for it is "hypothetical non coding rna". Lineage: Eukaryota; Viridiplantae; Streptophyta; Magnoliopsida; Asterales; Asteraceae. The record is from RNAcentral.
UAUAUGUCUUUUAUUAUUAAAUAUAUUCCUUAUAUUCUAUGAAGGGCAUCUCUAUUUUGAGUGUGAUUCGAUAGGGUUUUUCCUUGCCUUCUCAACCUGUCUCUCACAUAUAACUCUCUAUAUUUUUAUACUUGCAAGAUAGAUAUAACGAAAAGAACGUCAUAAGGUGGUUCUUGAGGUUUCGGCCUUAUGACCCUGUCCAACGAGUUUUUAUGGUGUCUACAACCCAAAUAACAUCUCGGGAGAGUGUUACUUGAUGUGUGUUAAGGUUGUAGCACUUAAAUCCUCUAUGGUUUGAUGGGUAAUCGAGAAACACAUGGUGUAGAUCAGUCGGCUAGUUUGUGAAUCUUAAAGGAUGGUAUUAGUGGAUAGCAAAGGAAACCAAACACUCUUAGGUGGUCAUAUGUGGGAAACUGAUGAUAGAGGUGGAUGGUAGGGGUAGAGUUUUGGCAUGAUGCCAAAAGUUUUACGAGACAGAUGCUUGUGUCAAAAUGGUGUGCAUUAUGUUAUUGAUGGGGAAAAUUUUGCGCCCGCCUUUGCUGUUUUGUGAGGAUGUAUAAGGACAAGGGAAACAAAAAAGCAUGCCAUUGGUUUUGUAAAAUUGAUUUAAUGGUUGUUGUUGUAUUCUUGUCCAUUAUCACCAUAGAAACACUUUAUAAAAGUGUUAAAUUGGGUUUUAAUUAAUUAGUUGAAUUUAAAAAAGGUGGUGAAAACUUGUGAUCUGUGUACAAUAGCAUAUGUCCAAAGGAAGUUGGUUUCAUAAGUUGUUAUGACAACCAUU